This 298-nucleotide ribosomal RNA is filed under the name uncultured soil bacterium. Its description in RNAcentral is "partial 16S ribosomal RNA". It matches the Rfam family "Bacterial small subunit ribosomal RNA", at positions 26 to 305 of the family's 1533-position model. The record is from RNAcentral.
AGAACGAACGCUGGCGGCGUGGAUGAGGCAUGCAAGUCGAACGGGAUCCAGCAUGUAGCAAUACAGGCUGGUGAGAGUGGCGUAAGGGUGAGUAAUGCGUGGGUAAUCUACCUUUAAGAUCGGCAUAGCCCGGCGAAAGCUGGGAUAAUUCCGAAUGUGAUCGACCGGUGCAUACCGGUCUAUUCAAAGGUUGGGGACCGCAAGGCCUGACACUUGAAGAUGAGCCCACGUCCUAUCAGCUAGUUGGUGAGGUAACGGCUCGCCAAGGCUUACGGGUAGCUGGUCUGAGAGGACGAUC